Molecule: ribosomal RNA, 468 nt
Filed under: uncultured bacterium
Lineage: Bacteria
Description: partial 16S ribosomal RNA
Rfam family: Bacterial small subunit ribosomal RNA
Source: RNAcentral
GACGAACGCUGGCGGCGUGCUUAACACAUGCAAGUCGAACGGAAAGGCCCUGCUUUUGUGGGGUGCUCGAGUGGCGAACGGGUGAGUAACACGUGAGUAACCUGCCCUUGACUUUGGGAUAACUUCAGGAAACUGGGGCUAAUACCGGAUAGGAGCUCCUGCUGCAUGGUGGGGGUUGGAAAGUUUCGGCGGUUGGGGAUGGACUCGCGGCUUAUCAGCUUGUUGGUGGGGUAGUGGCUUACCAAGGCUUUGACGGGUAGCCGGCCUGAGAGGGUGACCGGCCACAUUGGGACUGAGAUACGGCCCAGACUCCUAAGGGAGGCAGCAGAGGGGAAUAUUGCACAAUGGGCGGAAGCCUGAUGCAGCAACGCCGCGUGCGGGAUGACGGCCUUCGGGUUGUAAACCGCUUUCGCCUGUGACGAAGCGUGAGUGACGGUAAUGGGUAAAGAAGCACCGGCUAACUACGUG